RNAcentral lists this ribosomal RNA (253 nucleotides) under uncultured bacterium. Its description in RNAcentral is "partial 16S ribosomal RNA". It matches the Rfam family "Bacterial small subunit ribosomal RNA", at positions 524 to 776 of the family's 1533-position model. The record is from RNAcentral.
UACGAAGGGGGCUAGCGUUGCUCGGAAUCACUGGGCGUAAAGGGUGCGUAGGCGGGUCUUUAAGUCAGGGGGGAAAUCCUGGAGCUCAACUCCAGAACUGCCUUUGAUACUGAGGAUCUUGAGUUCGGGAGAGGUGAGUGGAACUGCGAGUGUAGAGGUGAAAUUCGUAGAUAUUCGCAAGAACACCAGUGGCGAAGGCGGCUUACUGGUCCGGUUCUGACGCUGAGGCGCGAAAGCGUGGGGAGCAAACAGG